RNAcentral lists this ribosomal RNA (305 nucleotides) under uncultured bacterium. RNAcentral's name for it is "bacterial SSU rRNA". It matches the Rfam family "Bacterial small subunit ribosomal RNA", at positions 337 to 658 of the family's 1533-position model. The record is from RNAcentral.
UCCUACGGGGGGCAGCAGCGGGGAAUAUUGCACAAUGGGGGAAACCCUGAUGCAGCAACGCCGCGUGAAGGAAGACGGUUUUCGGAUUGUAAACUUCUGUUCUUAGUGAAGAAGAAUGACGGUAGCUAAGGAGCAAGCCACGGCUAACUACGUGCCAGCAGCCGCGGUAAUACGUAGGUGGCAAGCGUUGUCCGGAUUUACUGGGUGUAAAGGGCGUGCAGCCGGGAAGACAAGUCAGAUGUGAAAUCCCGCGGCUCAACCGCGGAACUGCAUUUGAAACUGUUUUUCUUGAGUACCGGAGAGGU